RNAcentral lists this ribosomal RNA (301 nucleotides) under uncultured bacterium. RNAcentral's name for it is "partial 16S ribosomal RNA". It matches the Rfam family "Bacterial small subunit ribosomal RNA", at positions 509 to 807 of the family's 1533-position model. The record is from RNAcentral.
CAGUAGCCACGGUAAUACGUAGGUGGCAAGCGUUGUCCGGAAUUAUUGGGCGUAAAGGGCUCGCAGGCGGUUUCUUAAGUCUGAUGUGAAAGCCCCCGGCUCAACCGGGGAGGGUCAUUGGAAACUGUUAAACUUGAGUGCAGGAGAGAAAAGUGGAAUUCCUAGUGUAGCGGCGAAAUGCGUAGAGAUUAGGAGGAACACCAGUGGCGAAGGCGGCUUUUUGGCCUGUAACUGACACUGAGGCGCGAAAGCGUGGGGAGCAAACAGGAUUAGAUACCCGCGUAGUCCCUGUCUCUUAUAC